Molecule: transfer RNA, 50 nt
Filed under: Hylocomiadelphus triquetrus
Lineage: Eukaryota; Viridiplantae; Streptophyta; Bryopsida; Hypnales; Hylocomiaceae
Description: partial tRNA-Leu
Source: RNAcentral
AAAAUCCGUUGUCUUUAUUGACCGUGAGGGUUCAAGUCCCUCUACCCCCA